Molecule: ribosomal RNA, 484 nt
Filed under: uncultured bacterium
Lineage: Bacteria
Description: partial 16S ribosomal RNA
Rfam family: Bacterial small subunit ribosomal RNA
Source: RNAcentral
AUUGAACGCUGGCUGCAUGCUUUACACAUGCAAGUCGAACGGCAGCGCGGGCUUCGGCCUGGCGGCGAGUGGCGAACGGGUGAGUAAUGCAUCGGAACGUGCCCAGCAGUGGGGGAUAGUCCGGCGAAAGCCGGAUUAAUACUGCAUACGACCUGAGGGUGCAAGCGGGGGACCGAAAGGCCUCGCGCUAUUGGAGCGGCCGAUGUCGGACUAGCUAGUUGGUGGGGUAAAGGCUUACCAAGGCGACGAUCCGUAGCUGGUCUGCGAGGACGACCAGCCACACUAGGACUGAGACACGGCCCAGACUCCUACGGGAGGCAGCAGUGGGGAAUUUUGGACAAUGGGGGCAACCCUGAUCCAGCCAUGCCGCGUGCGAGAAGAAGGCCUUCGGGUUGUAAACCGCUUUUGUUCGGGAAGAAAUCCUCUGGGCUAAUACCCCGGGGGGAUGACGGUACCGGAAGAAUAAGCACCGGCUAACUACGUG